GAUGAAGAACGCAGCGAAAUGCGAUACGUAAUGUGAAUUGCAGAAUUCAGUGAAUCAUCGAAUCUUUGAACGCAUAUUGCGCUCUCUGGUAUUCCGGAGAGCAUGCUUGUUUGAGUAUCAGUAAACACCUCAACUCCCCUUUCUUUUUUGAAAUGGGAGCUGGACUUGAGUGAUCCCAACGCUUUUCUCACCGAAAAGUGGCGGGUUACUUGAAAUGCAGGUGCAGCUGGACUUUUCUCUGAGCUAAACGCAUAUCUAUUUAGUCUGCCUAAAAAACAGAUUAUUACCUUUGCUGCAGCUAACAUAAAGGAGAUUAGUUCUUGUGCUGACUGAUGCAGGAUUCACAGAGACAGCUUCGGCUGGCCUUUGUAAACUCGAUCUCAAAUCAAGUAAGACUACCCGCUGAACUUAAGCAUAUCAAUAAGCGGAGGA
This 432-nucleotide unclassified non-coding RNA is filed under the name soil metagenome. Its description in RNAcentral is "partial contains 5.8S ribosomal RNA, internal transcribed spacer 2, and large subunit ribosomal RNA". The stretch from base 1 to 120 matches the Rfam family "5.8S ribosomal RNA", at positions 35 to 154 of the family's 154-position model. The record is from RNAcentral.